Molecule: ribosomal RNA, 253 nt
Filed under: uncultured bacterium
Lineage: Bacteria
Description: partial 16S ribosomal RNA
Rfam family: Bacterial small subunit ribosomal RNA
Source: RNAcentral
UACGAAGGGGGCUAGCGUUGCUCGGAAUUACUGGGCGUAAAGGGCGCGUAGGCGGACAGUUUAGUCAGAGGUGAAAGCCCAGGGCUCAACCCUGGAAUUGCCUUUGAUACUGGCUGUCUUGAGUACGGGAGAGGUGUGUGGAACUCCGAGUGUAGAGGUGAAAUUCGUAGAUAUUGGGAAGAACACCGGUGGCGAAGGCGGCUCACUGGCUCGUAUCUGACACUCAAGCGCGACAGCGUGGGGAUCAAACAGG